UUCCUUUGCCUUCAGCUCCUAGGAGAAAUGCAGGCCUCGAUCCCAGGACCCUGACUGAGAUCAUGACCUGAGCCAAAGGCAGCAGCUUAACCCCUGAG
Molecule: long non-coding RNA, 98 nt
Filed under: Mustela putorius furo (domestic ferret)
Lineage: Eukaryota; Metazoa; Chordata; Mammalia; Carnivora; Mustelidae
Description: lncRNA (ENSMPUG00000031827.1)
Source: RNAcentral